This 440-nucleotide ribosomal RNA is filed under the name uncultured bacterium. Its description in RNAcentral is "partial 16S ribosomal RNA". It matches the Rfam family "Bacterial small subunit ribosomal RNA", at positions 338 to 795 of the family's 1533-position model. The record is from RNAcentral.
CCUACGGGCGGCAGCAGUAGGGAAUAUUGCUCAAUGGGGGAAACCCUGAAGCAGCAACGCCGCGUGGAGGAUGAAGGUUUUCGGAUUGUAAACUCCUUUUGUUAGAGAAGAUAAUGACGGUAUCUAACGAAUAAGCACCGGCUAACUCCGUGCCAGCAGCCGCGGUAAUACGGAGGGUGCAAGCGUUACUCGGAAUCACUGGGCGGAAAGAGCGCGUAGGCGGGAUAGCAAGUCAGAUGUGAAAUCCUAUGGCUUAACCAUAGACGUGCAUUUGAAACUGUUAUUCUAGAGUAUGGGAGAGGUAGGUGGAAUUCUUGGUGUAGGGGUAAAAUCCGUAGAGAUCAAGAGGAAUACUCAUUGCGAAGGCGACCUGCUAGAACAUAACUGACGCUGAUGCGCGAAAGCGUGGGGAGCAAACAGGAUUAGAUACCCUUGUAGUC